RNAcentral lists this transfer RNA (73 nucleotides) under Ixodes scapularis (black-legged tick). It matches the Rfam family "tRNA". Rfam says of the family: Transfer RNA (tRNA) molecules are approximately 80 nucleotides in length. Their secondary structure includes four short double-helical elements and three loops (D, anti-codon, and T loops). Further hydrogen bonds mediate the characteristic L-shaped molecular structure. tRNAs have two regions of fundamental functional importance: the anti-codon, which is responsible for specific mRNA codon recognition, and the 3' end, to which the tRNAs corresponding amino acid is attached (by aminoacyl-tRNA synthetases). tRNAs cope with the degeneracy of the genetic code in two manners: having more than one tRNA (with a specific anti-codon) for a particular amino acid; and 'wobble' base-pairing, i.e. permitting non-standard base-pairing at the 3rd anti-codon position. Lineage: Eukaryota; Metazoa; Arthropoda; Arachnida; Ixodida; Ixodidae. The record is from Rfam by way of RNAcentral.
CCCUGGUUAGCUCAGUUGGUAGAGCGCUCCACCUGUAAUGGAGAGGUCCCGGGUUCGAAACCCGGACCAGGCG